This 1130-nucleotide long non-coding RNA is filed under the name Monodon monoceros (narwhal). Its description in RNAcentral is "lncRNA (ENSMMNG00015004328.1)". The record is from RNAcentral. Lineage: Eukaryota; Metazoa; Chordata; Mammalia; Artiodactyla; Monodontidae.
GGGUCAUAUACUUCCCCAAAGAAAUCACAUCCCAUUUCCUAAAAUCAAGCCCAUACAUUUUUUUCAAGGAGAAAUCCUGGUAAAUUGGCUUAUAGGUAAGGAUAUAACCUGAGGCAUCACUCUGGAGCUGAAUGAGUCCAAGUGAUGGACCAAACUGCUGAACCAGUCUAAGCUUGGGGGAGAGGUCAGGGGAGCGGAGGGGAGGAGUGCCCUACAUUCCUUUUCUCAGCCACACACAGCAGCAGUGGUAUGUCUACAGCUUUGGAACACAGCAGGAUUUUGGAAGAAAGAGCGAUGUCAUCUUUCAAGGCAUGGGAUCAUCAAUCAUAUUCCAGAGAUGGGAAGAUGUCCCGACACUUGUGUCUGGUUUCGCAGUUUCUCCAGUGGACCAGGAAGUUCUCUCUCAUCUCCUGGGCUCAACAGAAAUACUUUAUUCUCACUGGGUAUUUUACUUUUAGUUUUUGAUCUCCAACAUCUGGUCCAGGAGUUAGGAGACCUAACUAGUCUAGAUUCUGCUGAGUUCUAGAUUCUGCUACACAGUCACUCAUUUAAUCACUGAUCGACUAAGUGUGACUCCCUUUGCUCUGAGCCUCUGCUUCCUGAUAUAAAAAGAGAGGUGGUCUGGGUAAUUAAGGUCUCUUCUUGCUCUGAGCAUCUAAGAAUCUAUGAAAUUAUACCUCCCUGUGUCUAUGAUAAUAAAGCAGAACACUAGUCACAGUUUCCUGCAGGGAUGCCAGAGUUGAGGCUGUUCAAAGCUGGGAACCAAUCCCCCUGAGGAGGGUUUCAGCAAACUUAAACUCUUUCUUGGAAGUUCUCCACUCAUUGCUAGCAUUUGUCUGACAGACAUCAUGGCACGGUUGAAUUUCCUCGUUGAAACCACUCAUUUCUUUAUAUUUAAUUAUUCCUUCUACUUGGCUUUACCUCCUACACAUCAUCCUUCGAGACAACGGGGCAGUAUCUGGUACAGUGUGUCCCAUGGAACUGCCACAGCCCAACCACUGGGACCCAACAGUCUUGCUCUCCUCAUUCCGACAUUCCUGCUCUUCCUUAUUUUGAUGGAAAAAACUCUGAAUUUCUACUUCAUCAAUGCCAGCCAUGUUGAUGAUGUCGUCUGUGGGCAGGCAACUUGA